Molecule: ribosomal RNA, 460 nt
Filed under: uncultured bacterium
Lineage: Bacteria
Description: partial 16S ribosomal RNA
Rfam family: Bacterial small subunit ribosomal RNA
Source: RNAcentral
CCUACGGGGGGCAGCAGUGAGGAAUAUUGGUCAAUGGACGAGAGCCUGAACCAGCCAAGUAGCGUGAAGGAUGACUGCCCUAUGGGUUGUAAACUUCUUUUAUAAAGGAAUAAAACGAGGCACGUGUGCCUCUUUGCAUGUACUUUACGAAUAAGGAUCGGCUAACUCCGGGCCAGCAGCCGCGGUAAUACGGAGGAUCCGAGCGUUAUCCGGAUUUAUUGGGUUUAAAGGGUGCGUAGGUGGGUAGUUAAGUCAGCGGUGAAAGUUAGUGGCUCAACCAUAGAAUUGCCGUUGAAACUGGUUGACUUGAGUAUGUGAGAGGUAGGCGGAAUGCGUGGUGUAGCAGUGAAAUGCAUAGAUAUCACGCAGAACUCCGGUUGCGAAGGCAGCUUACUGGACUAUAACUGACGCUGAGGCACGAAAGCGUGGGGAUCAAACAGGAUUAGAUACCCGAGUAGUC